This is a long non-coding RNA of Dromaius novaehollandiae (emu), 11859 nucleotides long. RefSeq lists it as uncharacterized. Lineage: Eukaryota; Metazoa; Chordata; Aves; Casuariiformes; Dromaiidae. The transcript has 3 exons. The record is from RefSeq and is a predicted model, not a curated record.
GCCGGGACGCCAUCUUGAGGCAGUGCGUGUGGCGGCCGUUGGUGGCGGUUGAUGACUGCGGUGGCCGUUUUUUCUCGGUUCUCCCCCCGGCCCCGUGGCUCGGUGCGGUCCCGAUUGAGUAGCUUUUCCCCCUUUAUUUUAAAAGAUGCCUGAGAGCACACGCUCUGUCGUGUGAAAGGCUGGGUACGAGGGAGGGAGGGUGAAGAAACGCAGUGCGCGAUGGCGGCUGUGCUGUGGGGAGCGUGGGUCAUGGUCCUGCGCGGCCUCCUGUCAGCAGCGGCCCUGCAGCCGCACGGGCAGGGCUGAGAAACCCCCGCAGCCACUCCCUGGCACACCCGAGGGCCUGCUGCUCCCCUACCCUUCACAGCAGCCACCAGGGCCGGCAGCAGGCAUGCGAGGCCGUGGUGGACCUGCUCCCUCUGAGGAGCAACGCGACUGCGACUGCACAGGAGCGCCUGCUGGUCGACACGUGAGUCAGUGGCGUCAUACCCAGCACCCUGGGCCUGCUGGAAUAUGCACCGUCAUAAGUUUUACAGCCACUUUUCAGAGUAGUCAUGAGCCUGAGUCAUAAUCACGGUAAUGUCAGCACAUGAGUCAGAGCCUAUUUUUGACUUCCCGCUGAACAGGAGCACUCCUGGGAAAGCGAGGCCCGGCCCUGCUAAAGUGGCUGUAUUUCUGUUCGAAAAUCAGGACCUUGAAAGUUCUCGGAACAAGUUUGCUGAAAGCAUUGCAUUUUUUUUCUUUUGCUCAUUUGAAAUUUCAGGGACCACAGUUUUUCCCUCAGCUGUGAUAUGCAUGUCUGAAACUUCAGGAUGUAAAGGCUUCACUUACUGGUUUAAAAAUAAUUUUUAGCAUGUUUGUAAAGAAUUUUUGUAAAGAAUUUUAGAUGAUUUAUUGGCUAUUAAAUUUUAUUUGAAGAAUACACUGAUGUUUCCUCAAAGGCAGAGUUUAUAUUUCUUGAAUAUUUCAUACAUCAAAAACAUUUAUUUUAAAUCAUCUGGAGCCUGCGAUGAUAUAAUAUUAACAUAUCCAGUGUUUCUGUUGACUGAAAAUUGCAUCUGCAGAUUAACUGGAAGACUGUAUGUUUAGUCUCACCAGCUGUGUCUGUGGUCCAGUUUCAGAUCAAGUUACCAUUUUGUUCACUUUUUUGAUAGUUUGAGGCAGUCUGUAGGUGGCAACAUUGCUUCGUUUUCAUGACCGUAGUUGAGAAUACUGAACUGAGUCCUGGAAAUGAACUCCUACUGUCAGAUUUUUAGGGCAAAAUGGAGCUCCUUUCCCUAAGUCUUAAAUUUACUAAUUAAAUUGAAGCUUAUAAUUUCACGUAAUGAAUCAGACUGAAUAAAAAUGGCACUAAUUUGUUUAACUGCCGUAAAGAGGAAGGAUGAAUCAAUUUGUACAGAAAUGCAAUAAACACUAAUGUUGUCUGGCUGAAAUAGCAAAUUGUAGUGAGUUGUGUAUAAUUCAAGACAAUGAGUUUUCUCUUUUAUUAACUUCAGCUCUCUCACCCUCCACAGUAUUACGUGUUGUGCAAUAAUCACAGCAGUUGCACAUGCACAUAAAUGGAUAGCUUUGGUUCUUAAAGUCCUGUAACGUUAUUUUUCUCAUCUUAAUAUUGAAUCGAAUGUCACAAAUCUUCAUGUACAUUUUCUCCAUUAUUUAUCUAGUCAUGAAUACCUCUGAGUUCUGUGAUACCUUUUAGAAGUGGAGGACUGGAGAGGACCACCCGUGUUGGAUCUAAGCCCCAGUUUCAGGCAGUCAUGUAGUGACGUAUAGUCCAGAAUCAUCCACAGAACUUCUACUGUAGGUGACACCACGACCAGGCCACAGGACCAACACCUUCCCAACACCUUUUAAUAAACCUAAAUCCCAGUGUAAAUAAUAAAAUCCACAACAAUGGUAAGAUCCAGCAAGAGAAAAGAAACAAAUAGGGCAUGGCCAAUUAGCCUGAGUCCUGCAGGAACAAGCUAUUCAUUAAGGAGAACUCCUAGGAAGCACUACAGAGGAGGCUAGAAGAGCAACUGUUAAAACAAAGUGUUAUUUCUAAACCUGUUUUUCCAGACUCCAAAUCUGGUAAUCUGUUUAUCCGUGAGUACUGAGCACUACAUGACCCUGUAUCUCAGAUAUUAAUGUGACGAGGCCCACCUGCAAAUUCCGGUACCCACGUCAGUGACUGAUCUCCAGUACGUUGUAGGAAAUCAGCCGCUUCUCCUCUUCAGAGCCAUAUUGCACAACAAACUGGCCAACUCUGAUCUUUCUAUGUUACCUUUGUAACCAUGUGUUUCAAUAUUUAAUUUCAAGGGGCUUAACUUUUGUAACAUGUUUUAAAGGAUAAUUUAUAUUGUAUAAAAUGUUUGCUUUUUAAAAACUUUGGUAAUGCUUAGGAAGGUUUUUCAUAGUGCCUAAAAGCACAACAGCAAUUUGGUAAGAAUUCUAAUUUUGUUUUAGAACUGACUAGGUGCCAUAUCCUUCUACAGAUGACCCCUAGUUUACUUGCCAGGUUUUUUUUGCUUACUGAAAUAUUUUUUCUCUUUUCAUAAUGGGCCUUCUGUUACUCUGUGUGGGAGUCAUGCAGAGAGAGACACUGACUAAACUGAAAUGCUGAAAAUAAUUCCACGUAAAGCGUUUCAAAAGAUCUGCCACAGUAUGUCUGUAAGGAUAUUCUCCAAACUGUAAGGAACUCAGCUCGUCUCUCCUGUCCUCUCCUCUCCGCACGGCUCCCGUUUGCGGAGCGGCAGGUUCGUCCGCCCCGGCAAGCUGCGGGUGUCGCGUCCCUGGGAUCCUUCCCGCCUGGAUCCCUGCUGGUUUUACAGAUUCCCUGCACAAACCUGGCCAAGCUCUGUUUCUGGCGAUGCACUUGUUCAGCGAGUACGAGAAGGCCCAACACAAGUGAAAACAUUUUGUCAUGGGACCAGUCACUGAAGCACCUAAUCCAAACGAUUUUUGUACAAUUUUAAGAGGAAGCGAACGGCGAGCUGGGAUCCUCAGCUGUGCAGAGGGAGCAGAGGGAUCCCCGGGCAGGUGACGCAGCCCCGGUGCCUGCGGGGCACCCACAGACGGCAGCUUGCAGGGGAGCUGCCAGCCGAGAAAAUCCACUGAUGUUAUUUAGCAAACAAUGAAUAGGUUUGAGAAGUUAUGGGUUGUUCAUAGACCGCUUUGUGAACAGAGUGCUCUGAUCCAUAACCACCCGCCACCAGCAAAGGGCAAAGCACCGAGGGGAGCUCGUCCCCCCGGCACUCUCGGCUCGCGCGGCGGGCUCCCUGCGGGGAGGUCCUCCCGCUGCCGCGGGCUGCCUCGCGCCGGUGGGGCAAGGAAGAGCCACCGCCUUCCUUUCUGUCUUCUUCCCACGAAAGCAAUUAGGAACUAAGCGUGUGUUUCCUGACCCUUGCAGGAAUUUGGGGACUUUUGCCUCCUCUCUGCAAAGCGUGAGAGCUGGCUUGCCCCGCUGCUCUGCGAGGGGUGAUAAACCUCCACGAGUCUCUCUGCCAGCUGGGACUCUCCCUCCUUCCGAAGGACUUCACCUUGAACAUGCUCAACUCCUGCCCUGUUCAUCGCAGCUUCGCUUUAAGCACUGGACGCUCUGGCAGAGCCGCUAGCGUGGACGGGGGACGGCCACCCCGGGAGAGACCCUGCAGCCGCGGGGCCGCGGGGCUGAGGGGUGCAACGGACCACGAGCGCAAAUCUGGUGGUUUGGCCAGCGGCGAUUUUCAUUUUUCUGCAGAAAAUGCUUCUGGCAUUUGCCAAAAAAAAAAAAAAAAAAAAAAGAGGAAGGAGGCCAGGGAUUUUGAGGACUUGUUUAAAUUACGGAAUGGCUGCUGCUGCCUGUCUUGCUUAUGCCGUUAAAAAAAGUUACAGCUUUGAACUGAUUCGUGGGCAGCCACAGCACUGACUUGCUGCUCACGGCGAAGCGACCUGCUGGGUUUGUUCUCCUUCAUCCGUGGGACGGAGGCUCCUCCGAGCCGAGGGCACGCAGACAGCGUGGUCGCCGAGUGCCGCGUUUCCCACCAGAACCGCUGGCCUCGGAGUGAGCCGGGUCCUGCUCGUCCUGGCUAGGCGUCCAGCCCGCGGGGGAGCACGGCCCUGAGCGCACGUCGGGAGCCUGUGGCUAGGGAAAGGCUGGGAGCGGGGACACGGGGACGCUGCCUCUGCGGGGCUGCCCGGGCACGGCCAGCCUCACCGUGUGUCACGCGGCCUCUCGAUGCCCGAAUACGUGUUAUUUCAUCGUUGCUCCAAAAAGAGACUUGCAACGCUGUCAUUCUGCGUUUUAUGUGGGACACGGGCUAAGUUUGGCUAGAGAAGAGCAGCCAACGGCAGCGACGGCUGGACUGUAAUUAGUCUAAAGUGUAGUUUAGUAGCUGUCCAAAGGAGGAACACAAGUCUUGUCCAAAAGGCUGCACAUAAAAUAGCUCUGUGGUUAAAACGAUGAAGGUCCUCUUUCAUCUGCACCCGCACGGCAUCACAGUCACACAGCGGCUUCGCUGAAUUCUCCUGCUCUCACAGUCGGUGCAGGAUUUGGCCCUGCCUGUUUACUGCAAUGCACAGCUGGAUGGCACCGGUAUUUGACAGCUGUGCUUACCUGAACAUGCCCAAACUGUUUGAACUGGCUACAUCAGUCCAGUUUCUAACUUGCAAAUUCGGGACUAAAAUGCUAUGUCAAAAACAAGGGUAUCGGCAACACUUAGCGUAAUGCUCUGGGAUGCUGGUGUGAACAGCGAUGCCUUUUCAGCCUUUGCUAUUAUUAUUCCUAUUUUUGCAAUUAUUGCUGUCAAUGUAUCACAGAAGGUCGCUGGAAGGGCUGAGUGUCGGGAUAUCGGGCAGAAAUGGACACAAAAUGGUGUUAAAAUUUUAAAUUCAGUCUGAGUUUUCCCUUCAUUUCCUUCCUUUACUCUGAUUUGUCGGCCCUUGGUGGGGCUUGCUGGAUCCUCGCUCACCUCAGCAGCGAUUUCCCCAGAUUUCCCGCAGCCCGCGGUGGUGCAGCGAGGUCGGCUCCCGCGGGGAAAUGCGGGCGAAAAUCCGGGCAGGGUGCUCCGAACUGGCGGCUGCGGGCGGGGGUAGGGUUAGCCCGAAGUCUGCGUGUUUUCAGCUCCGUAUAUAGCACAAGGGCUGUCUGAGACCCGAGCGAGCACCGUGACUUGUGCCUGCUGCACCCCCGGAGAGCAUCCCAGGGGACCGGCGGGUCUCCGUACGCCAGAUGUGCGUCAGCGAGAUCAUGUCGCCUCCAAUAACGCGAUACCGCAGCUGCCGGACAAGGGUUUGGCUCAGGCCAGGGCACUGCUGUGCGGAGACCUGGACCCUAUUUGCCAGCUGCAGGUUGGGUUUGUUCAGUAGCUGCUUCCACAGCACCAGGACCGGGACCUGUUCCCAGGUGCCCACAGAAAGGCUGAUUUCUCCCCAUUCUGCUCACAAGCGUCGAACAGCGCGAAGGGACUGGGAGGGCUGGGGGACUCGCUCAGGUCGGGUUGUCUCCCACCCGGAGGGCUGAACGGUGUGAGAAAAUGUGGACAGGCUUGAGGACGAGCGGUCAGAAAGCUGAAAUCUGGAAGACCAAGUGGAGCAGCUCUGCCUGAGCUGACACUGUAUAGGCAGAGGUGUAUGAGUGUUGCCCAGAUUAAAGUUUAAUUAAAUUCCUGCAAGAUUUUGGGGUUUCAUAAACUUCCUUUGAGCUUUCUGCCAACUGGGAUAUACUCUCUGGCUUCAGAAUAUAAAAGCAGUUGUUGUUGUGUUUUGCAAAUAUGUUUUAUAACGCAUGCAAGUGCCGACUCUGCAGAAGUCUCACUGCUUUCCAUGAUUAACAAAAUUACAAAAACACAAAGGGGAGCAGUUCUCCUUGUUUUUGACUAUCCUUAAAAACAAGAGAUGGAUCAAAGUAUCCUAUGAUUAAGCUCAUUAAUCACACCCACACCACGAAAAGCCAAUAACUCUCCUGAACCCGUUUUUCGCGGAGGAAAGCCGGUUAGGAGCUAGGCGGGGUGGUUGUUUAUUUACGUGUUUUUCUCAAAUGAGGAACUGAACAUUUAGCGAGGAGAGGAGCGCAGGACUCUCUGCAGCUUCGUGUCGCGUGGGACCCUGCAACAACCUUGCUAGCCCUGUGUUAAAGCACUUGCAAACACGCACAGCAAACAGGUGGUCACAGUUCCAAGGCUGCAGACGUGCAGGAGAGGGGUUUCGUGUCCAUGGAUCUGAGCGAGAGCCGUUCUCGCAUUCCAGCUUUCACAGAGCUCUUCUCUACACCGGCAAGUAACUGUGGACACUCGCGCUUGGAGAUUGCAGCUCCAGCCAGUUUGGGAUCCCACAGUUUUAACAAAUUGCAAAGGUUAAAUGCAAGCUGCGUGGAGAAACACUUCCUUUAGCUUUACACUGGCACCGUGGUGGCUCCCCACGGCUGCACAGACGCCUGUCCGUCACCUCCCGGCUGUCGCGCCCCUGGCUGAGGAGCCCCACGUGUUGCAAUGUCUUUCUGUCCAUGCCUUGGACCGUCCGUCUCGGUCCCCGUCGCUCCGCGCUGCCUUUCGGAUGCUGCGGCCCCGGCGGGGAGUCAAGCACCGAGGUCCCCUUGCAGCCGUGGGGAGACGUGGGGGUCCGGCAGCGGGCCCAGGGAAGCAGCCUGCUCGGCAGACGGCAGCCCAAACUGGCCAAGAGGAGGUGCGGAGGGCAAAAUGUGAGCUUGACCCUUCUCCAGGCCUUCAGUGCCGAAACCUCCAAUGCUGAGCACUGCAUAUUUGCAGUCUGCAUUCACAGCCCUGAUUUUUUCCGGGGAUUAAGCUCACUCUUUUCUCCAAGCAUCGCCAGAGGAAGCAGCACAUCUUCCUUGAUGGAGGAGAGAGCCAAACACGUCUCACUAGCGGGAGCAAGUGACCAAACUGCCGAGAUACGGGUUGAAACACCCAAAGUCCUCCUCCUCCGGAGCGGACGAGGCCCCGUGACUGGCAAAGGCAACGCGGAGCGGGCAGGCGGCUCGGGGAGGACAACGCCUGUUUUCUGUGCUUGCUUUAGCCGCCCGCUUGGCCCCGAGGCCGAGGUCGCCCACCCGGCCGGGCACCACAGCAUCUCUGCUCGCUGCGAGGAGAAGCCGGGCAAAGAGCAGCCGAGUCAGCAGGAGCCGCGCAGCCGCCGCGGACGGACAGGGCUCCGCUAAAUAGCGGUGCUGCAGUCCGUUUCAGGACACGGCCUGAAAUCCUUCUGAAUAAGCAUUUUCUCUCACACACAUCUUAGCUCUCUGCACGGCCACUGGUCACACUCAAUCCCCGUUUCACAUCACGAGCAGUAAUUACCAGCUUGGCCUGGUUUUGCGGCUGAAUGAUACGAUUUGCAAUGCAAGCACUCGAACGCCAGCCAAAAGGAGGCAGCAACUGCUGCCCCUCUCUCAAUAUUUCCUCCAGCAGCAGCUUCAUUUCCUUCGAAACGCUGAAGAGGGUGUAGUUCCAACCUGCAUGUGUUCACAGGCACGUGGCUUAAACAAAUAUACACAUGCGCGCACACAUAUACGCACAUCUUGGUUUAGUCUCAGCUUUGCGCCAUAUGAAGAGAAGACUCAAUUUGUAACUUAUCCUAUUUCCCAGGAAAUACGUUUUAAUGAUUUUGCUAAUAGUGAAGAAACCCGUGUUCCCUGUUCUACAGCUUUAUCCUCACGGAGGCUCCUUCUUGCUGCUGGGGAAAAGCGCAGCUCGUCGAGGACAUGGUGAUCCUGGCAGCCGGCUCGGCUGCCCCUUUCCGAGCCUGGACUUCCCAUAUCGGCAUUCCCGCGGGCACACGCGGAGCGGAGGCAGCUGUGCCGCAGGCUGGCAGGGGGAUGUUGCAGGUUGUCUGGCUGAUGCCCCCAGACCCGGCACCGCUCCUCCCUGCAAGCUGGUCUUGUAGCAGAGCUAUUAAAGAUGCAGUGAGUCUCCGUUAUGCCUCCCGCAUGCAACAUCACUUCACCCGUGCCUGGGUUCAGCCGGCGCAAGCCAGGCUGCGUUCAGGCCCCUGUUUCGCCGAGGUGGUAAAUAAUUCAGUGCGAACUUGUGCUGUCCCCGGAUUGUAACAGCGCUGGGGCCGCUCAGAGUUGGCUGGAAAAGGGGAAAAUUUGUUUUACUGGAAAACCUGCACUGUUGACCUUUCAUUUAAUUUAGCGCCAGGACAAAAUGUUGCACUGGGGGACUCGCAGGGAACCGGCCCCUCGGCGUCCCCGGUCCCUCGUGCCGGUGCCGGCAGGGCAGAGCCUCACAGGCCUCCGGAAAGGAAAAGGCAGAGCGGGGCUGGCUCACCUCACACCGGUGCCCCCCACGAGCGGGCCUGCGGCGUGAGGACAGCCGCACCAGCCUGCUGAACAUCAGCCUUGUUAAACGCAUAACGUCAUCUAUCCGCCGAAGGACCACGCGCGCACGGGACGGGGCGAGCGGGAACCUCCCCGGCUGCAGUCGCACACCCAGCACGCGCUCGCCAGCUCGCACCCCGCGUUUCUCAAGCCGUCAAGGAUGCAGCUGCUCAGCAGCCCAGCGCCGCGGCCACACGUCAGCCAAGAGAGCUGAGAGAGUGAGGGAUCGCGCUUUAAAGGCAAGACCUGGAAAAGGGGCUGCCAGGGAAUGAGUCGCUGCAGUUUUUGCAAAACCUUCCCCCUCCUUCGCUGUGAGACAACUGUUAUUAAUCAGCCCCGUAAAUUGGCAUCCAUAUUUUUCUCAUGAGCUCUGAAACUCAUUUAAUGCCUCUGAACAGCUUCUAUCAGCUGAAAAAUUAAAUUAAUUGUAUUCCUCCUGCCUAACAAACCUCGGGAGUUCUUUGCCAGGCGCCUUUGGUGGGCAAACCAACGGGAAGUUGUGCGGCGUUGAUAUCCGAACUCUGUGUGCAAGCACACCGAGCUCCUCUGCUACCCCUGCGCAAGAGGCCGCGUUAUCCGCGUUGGCCGUCUGGGGCGACGAGGCAGCUGAGGGGCGGCAAGCAGAUUAAACUGCAAUCCCUUGAUACCACACACUGAUCAGCAGCUGGAAAAAAAAGAGAGAAAAAUCCUUUUGCAAUUAAUAAAAGAAAAAUCCACAGAGGCUAGAAAAUGUCCAAUCUUAAAAAAUGGUUCUCAUACUUCUUUCGUAAUGAUGGUUUUUACAGAGAGUUUAAAGCUGGUAGAGAUGCACAUCUAGCCUAGCUUCUUCCUCAACCUGCAAUCAGAAAAUGUAGCUUUACACUCAGAUAUAAGCUUUAUUAAAUAUUGACUCGCUCCCUCCCGUUAUUUUCUGAUCCAUUAUCUCAUGUUCAUCAGCAUUUACAGUUCUUUGCCACUCUGAGAAUGCAGCAGUCGUGUUUCAUCCGCUGGCGAUCCCGACACCAAAUCACGGAUGAGCUCUGACCCGGGGGCACCACGCCGGAAAAGCGCGCCGUGGUACAGUCGUUUGCGAGUGAGGCGGCGUUGGACUGAACACGGAGACCCCGUGUCUUGCUCCGGAGCGUUCCCCGCUUGGGCUCGCUUUUAGAAAGCGCCUCCCGCCCACCACGGCUGGCAGCGAGUGCCGGCGAGCCCCACGCGUCCUGGCUGUCUCUUGGCCCACCACCGCCUUGCCCCGAGCCUCGGCAGCACCUGGGCUUUGCUAGCAUCCAGGUCGUGGGACCAAGAUUAAUCUGAAAAUGACGAUCUCCGGACUCUAGAGAGAGCUCUUACGACUGGCUGCUCAGAUCCUAGACUGCCCUGGCAUCAACGGUCUUGAUUUACUGAUUAAACCUAAAUAUUUUUAAAGAACAAACCAAAAGGCAUAAGAAACAUGCAAAAUCAUUGCGGAAGAUGUGCUACAUAUUCCCACGUGACACUUUCUCUUGAAGCUGAGGGAGACCAACAUCAAGUGAGCGCCUCCAGGUUUGCAUUUAACCCUCCUGCGUUUUGCUGAAUGCCGUCACACACCCAGCGCAGGGCUCCGGCACACGGCCCAGCUGCAGGUUGCCAGUCCAGCACCGCAGGCUGGGAGGUGCCCUUGCGUGCUGGAAAGAAGUGAGACUAAAAGGAUUGACUGGUCUUGGAUGAAGGGGGUGCAACUGUGUGCACCCUCUUAGCACAGUUCUGCAUCUGAUAUUUGGCACUUGCUGCUGGUGAAGGAGCGAUGUCACUGCUUUGUCCUCAGCAGACACUUGGAGCUGGGUCUCCUCUCAUUGCUAUCAAUAUCACAACUUGCUUUGGCGAAGUUGCAUCUCAUUUAGACCAACAAAUGUUGGAAGUCAGUCCACGGAUGCCAGCGCAGUUGAACCAGCGCAUAGCUGCUGCAAGUAAAUCAGAUUCAAAGCUUAUCGUUUCGUUUCUAACAGACACAGAAAAACCAGCAGACCAGCAAGGUAUGAACCUAAUAACUCGCUGUGCUGGGACGCUGAGGAUUUGCACCUAUCAUCGCACAUGCAGAUCUCAGCACAAAAUGCUGAAAGAGCAAUUGCACAGGGAGGGUGUGGACACAGGCAUGGAAAGUGUAAAAAACAGAAGGUAGAUGUACCCACCUAUGUGCCAGAGGUAGGAUCGAUGCCUACAAACUCUCUAUUUGCUGCAGCACAGGUGCCUGUAGAAAAGAUGUCAAUAUGGCAAUAAGUAAGGUCCUUCAGAGGACCGUAAAAUUUUCAGGCUCCAGGUGAGUUUUAGAUAUGUAUUUAAUUAAGUGUCAAACAAAAUACACGCUGUCUUUAAGAUGACCUACAGUAAUGCUACAGCUAAUGGUGCUGACCAUCAUUUUGCAACUUAUUUCUACAGUCUGUUGAGGCUAGAUAAGGCAGUUUUCUGGUACUUUUAGGAAACUGCUAUAAAUACAAGACUAAAAGGCACUGAAGUAGAUUAGGAGAUAUGUUGUAUUAGGUAAAAUGUGAGAAACCAAAGUGAAACCUUCUUUUCUCUAACAGUCGAUGUGCAUCAGGAUAAAGAUUAUCUGUCAAGUCUUUUAUUUCCUAUCAACAGGAAAUCACUGCAGAAGCCGAUUCCCUUCAGAAGAAUGUUCUCAGGAUGCUGCCUUUUUUUUGCAUUUAUUACAGAAAAAGUCAUCUGUAGUCUUCUCGGCAAGGUUAUCUGUUAAUGUGCUGCAAUCAAUAAUCUCUUCUUAUAUGUAUACUGCUCAGCGCUCGCAAUGGAGUUUAUGGCUGCACUACAUCAUUAUUAUGAAUGAGCACUACCUUUGCCAUUGCUGAGCUAGAGCCUCGCUAUUUAUUAAAGCCUGGCACUGACCUUCCAACUUCAAGAACAUUAAAUCAGAUCCUCUGAACUUCACAGAAAUGUCAGGUCGGGAUCUGUCUGGAAAUGUUGAGCAUUUGGGAGAAACGAGGGUUCAUAAAAAGAUCUUUUUAUUUUCUUCUGUAGAUAGAUAGACAUUGAUUUGAAGGAAUUUUAAAAAGGCUUGGCCCCAAACUUCCAGCUUUGCUUUAAUGUGCAGAUCUUGGUGACAAAUAGAGCUAAGAAUUAGCUUUGGUAAAGGCUGAGAAGUAUUUGUUUCCCUCUCCAGCAAGAUUCCUCGUGUGACCAUUGCAUGGAGCCCUUACAGAGCUGCUCGGACUAUUAACCCCGGUCUGACAGUGACACCCACGGUGGCACCAUCAGACGUGGACAGCUCAGAUGCCUGGGAUGAACUCUGGUACAAGUGGUUAUUUACUUUAAAUAAGUAAAUGUAAAAACUAAGGUCUUGCCUAUUAAUUUUUGUCUCAGAAUAACUUCCUUCUUUUAAGUGUGAAUUAAUAGUUUUUAACUCAGCAGUGCUACCACACUUUUCACAUUGCAAACACUGACAUCUCAGUUACAGACUACAACAAAUUGUUCAAAAAUCACGCAGUUGUCUUACAAGAAUUCCUGCUCCUUUGUGCAUGCUACAUUUACGUUAAACAGUUGCUCUAUGUACAGACUGUUAACUUCAUUAAAGAUUCUGCGAGUCUGGUUUGGAA